This 241-nucleotide ribosomal RNA is filed under the name uncultured bacterium. RNAcentral's name for it is "partial 16S ribosomal RNA". It matches the Rfam family "Bacterial small subunit ribosomal RNA", at positions 118 to 352 of the family's 1533-position model. The record is from RNAcentral.
UGAGGAACAUGACCUUCGGCGGGGGAUAGCCGGCCCAACGGCCGGGUAAUACCGCGUACGACCUUUCGGGGACAUCCCCGGAUGGUGAAAGCAGCAAUGCGCCGAUGGAGUGCCUCGCGGCCUAUCAGCUAGUUGGUGGGUAAGUGGCUCACCAAGGCGACGACGGGUAGCUGGUCUGAGAGGAUGGCCAGCCANAGUUGGGACUGAGACACGGCCCAGACCUCCGUACGGGGAGGNAGCG